Molecule: ribosomal RNA, 336 nt
Filed under: uncultured bacterium
Lineage: Bacteria
Description: bacterial SSU rRNA
Rfam family: Bacterial small subunit ribosomal RNA
Source: RNAcentral
GUGAGUAGUUCUAGAGUUUGUAUCCUGGCGUCAGGAUUAACGCUGGCGGCGUGCAUAACACAUUCAAGUCGAACGGUGAUUCCUUCGGGAAUGAUCAGUGGCGGACGGGUGAGUAACGCGUGAGCAACCUGCCCUUGUGUGGGGGACAACAGUUGGAAACGACUGCUAAUACCGCAUAACACAUACUGAUCGCAUGUUUGGUAUGUCAAAGAUUUAUUGCGCAAGGAUGGGCUCGCGUCCGAUUAGAUAGUUGGUGAGGUAACGGCUCACCAAGUCGACGAUCGGUAGCCGGACUGAGAGGUUGAACGGCCACAUUGGAACUGAGAAACGGUCCAG